CGAGCUGAAAUUUUACUUGGAUGAUGAUGACAUCUACAUUGAUUUAGCAGAUCUUUGAUGUUGAAAACUUGGAAGUGAUAGAAAAGAAAAUAGGGUUAGAGUGCUGAUUUUUGUUCAUUCCUAAUUUUUUUUUUUUUUUUUUUUUUUUUUUUUUGUAUAGUCGGAGCCUGGUGAAUGAAUACUGAAAAGUUCUUUCUUGAAUUAAGAAAAAGUGGUCUUCGCUUUGUAAGUUCUCUCCAACUCUCUUCUCUCGUUUAUCGUUUUUUCUUCCCUUUUAAUAAGAAUCAAAGAGUUAUUAGUGGUUAUUACAAAUGUUACUAUCCAGAGUAGUCCUAUUGGAUGUGAAAGUAAUCCACUUUAAUGAUCACUUGCUUAAUUAGAUCCAUCUAUUCCUCUCCUUCCAAACUCAGUGGAUUGUUCCACAGAAGUUCCUAGAAAUACUUUUUUUUUUUACCACAACAGUGGGUUUAGCACGAAACUUCUGAACUUUCAAGGUGUUGGUUUGCCUUUGUUCAUUGAUUUUAAAGUCUGACCAGGUUCCCUAUUAUGAAUCCUUUGCAAGUGAAGACAUGUUGCAGAAUAUUAUUUGUUGUGAACAUCAUAUAGAUUUUUGUAUUGAAUUUUCUCUAGCUUUCUAUAAUACUGCUUAAUCAUUUCAGGGGAAAAUGCUGUGGUAGUAACUUCAUAAAGUUCUCUUGAUUCAAUGAAUUGCUUUUAUUGGAAUAGAGUCAUAGAGAUAGAGAACCUCAUUGUGGCAAUUCACCUGGAACAGAGUAAUUUGCUCUUUUGGUUGACAACAAAUUAUUUGAUCGAAUUUUAAUGGACGUAUAUUGUUCUCUUCUUUUCAAAUAUAUAUUUCAUUUUUUUGGAUAAGAAACAGGAAAGGAAUAUAUUCCAAAAGAAUAAAAAACUUUAAGCCCCCCAAAACCAGCCUAACAGCCAUCUUUGUCAAACAUUUCAUUUAACGAGAAUUCCUUGAUACCAUGCCUUUUCUCCACAGAUUUCUAAUCCAAAUUAACAUGUAGUGGGGUAUACAUUAUUGGACUGAUUUGGACUGAUGUUAGCCAUGAGAGCAAAAAAUUCUCUCCCGACAGUAUUAAAGACAAGUUACGUCUGUCUUCGUUUGAACCAUCCAUUAGGUUGCAGUUUUGCAAUCCGAAAAAUACAAUAAAACAACUUUUGUCCAAGGGGUAGUAGCAACCGAAUUAGCAGCUUCCAAGCCACACACCGGCAGCAUAAUAUGCUUAUCAGUUAACUCAAGAUCCUUGACUCCUAUUUUUUUUACGACAGGAAUUAAGUUAUAAAUGUGGGUGAUGUGAUGUCAGUGUAUUCUUGAACUUGAAAGUAUUUGUAAUGAGUUGUUAAUUUGGAUCUCGAGUAGUGUGGAGGAAUGUGGACAAUAUUAUGGGCAUUAUCAUAAAAUUCCGGUCAUGCGGAUGGUUCAUAUGUGAUUUGGUUAAAGCACUCCGAGUCUCCAUAUCUUAUCAUUAUAAUUACAUAAUCUUUUACCACAAAUAAAUAAAGCAAUUAUGAGAAAAUGGCAAUCUUAGUCUCCGUAUCAUAUCAUUAUCAAAAUGCAAAGUAAAUGGCAAUUAAGAGAUUGGAUAUCACAUAAUCAUCCUUCACCACAAUUAAAUAUAACAAUUAAUUCCUUCUCUCUGAAAAUGGAGAAUAUUCCUAUAUAGAAAACAUCAAUGGCCAUACUUUACACCAAUGAACACUAUUCCCUUCCUUUUUGAUAAUUGUGAAACUUACAUUUUUCUCCACCUUCAUUCUAUAUUCGUUAUUUCAUAGUCUGAACUAGUGAUGCAGUCCAUCCAGUGCUACCCAACUUCAGGAACUAUGCAUCAUCGAAUGUAUCCUCAAGCACAACCUCCAGUGAUCAACCCUUACAGCAGCCCAAUCCCAUCCUUUGCAAGGAAGGAGCCUAAAUUUAAUGCAGCCGUGAAGCACCGUUUGGCAGAGCAGAACAGAAGGAACAGAAUCAGUGGCCAAUAUGCCACGCUCCGUGCCAUCCUUCCCAGCCUAUCCAAAGUUAGUCCAAACUUCCCCUCAAAAAUCUAUCUUCAAUUGAUUUAUUUUUAAGCCAAAAUCAUUGAAAUUUCUGUAUAUUGACACUUGAAAAGAAAUGUGUUAUGUAUAUGAACACAGACGGAUAAGAGUAAGCUGAAAAAGGCUUUUGUGCUUUCUGAGACAAUCCGUGGAGUGAAGGAGCUUAAGAAGCUUGUAUCAGAAAAGAGAGUAGCCAGUCGUGAGUUCAGAGAUUGUGGGAUACCUAGUGGAGCAGAUAGGUUGAGCUUAGAACAAUGUGAUGGUGGUGAAGGGAUGGUGAAGGCUGUAAUGAGCUGUGAGGACAGGCAGGAUAUCAUGGCAGAAUUAGCCAAAGCACUGAAAACAAUGAAAGUGAAGCUGGUUAAAGCUGAAAUGGUGACUGUGGGUGGAAGGAACAAGUUUUCUCUAUGGAUUCAAGGCCCUAAAGAAGGACAUAGUGGGCUUAAGAGAGUUUUGGAGGCUGUUAUGAGAAGGCCUUCAUGGAUUGCUAGAAAACCCAGAAAUGUUUGGCAGUCUCGAGCUUCAACAGAUAGCAAUUUUAACGGAGUGACUUCUUGAACACAAAAAUUUCUUGUUUUUCUUAAAGUAAACAUAAUUACCCGUUUGUAUUUAGAGGUCAAUUGUGAAUUGUGAUGGCCUUUAUGGGAAACCAUCCAACCUCUAAUCCAUACAUAUAUAUCCUCACAUAAUUGGGAAAACUUAUGUAAAUGAAACUGAAUGAAAAAAUAAAUUGAUAUUACAGAUUAGUUUUGAAAAAAUCCGAUCAAUGGACACAAAGUGCCCUAUUUUUCCAUCAACCUCGAGUAGAAACAUGCAAUUGAGGUUUGAAUUAUAAUUUAAGUUUUCAAGAUGCGAAUGGGAGGAUUCAAUUAUAUAUAAUUGAAAAUUGUUUUACGAUAAAGGAAAUAUGUCAAAAUCAUCAAUCAACUAUGAUUUCAUGAUAAUAUAUCACAUAUGUUUGAAAGUUGUUGGAAACAAUUAAAAUCAUUUUGUAAUUUUUAAAAUGGCUUAGAAACAUGUUUUAAUUUUUUUUUCAAUAUUGUUUUGGAUGAUAUGAAGACCAAGUUAAGGUUUAACCAUGUAAAAUCAAACAUCCAAUUGUAAAUCAAGAAAGACAUGUUUAAAUGAUUUUCGAUUAGGACAAUUUUAACCUUCUCAAAAUCAAUUUCUUGUUGAAUUGAAGUUUAAUCUUUACAAAAGAGGUUUGGUAGGUCUGGUUAACAGUGUCUCUUGUGUUGUUGAGAAGAUGAACUAAUUCCUCUCUCCCCAACUACAUCCCAUCAAACACAAGACCAAUCAAAGUUCAAGUUUAUAAAUAUCCAUCGUGGCCAAAUGUUCCUUCAACUCAAACAACAAACAGAUUCAAUAGAAGUUCGCUAGGAUUGCUAAAAACUUCCCUCUUUCUAAUUCAAAACCAUGGCUGUUUUCAACAGUUGCUUGAAGUUCUUAUUAAUCGUAUCCUUGUCAUUGGCAAGCAUCAACAUGAACUUUGCUAGUUCUCGUCGCCUUCUCGAUACACCAGCAGCUCCACCUCCAUUCCUAUCUAUACCUCCAAUUCCUCCACUGCCGCCUCUGCCCAAGGCCACAGUGCCACCACUGCCAAGCGCUGCCCUGCCUCCGCUCCCUCCGAUGCCAACACUGCCAAGAGCUACAUUGCCUCCAUUGCCUUCAGCACCAGCAUUGCCAAAGGCUACCUUACCUACUUUGCCACCAUUACCUUCAGCACCAGCACUGCCAAAGGCUACCUUACCUACUUUGCCACCAUUACCAACCAUGCCAUUGCCGACCUUUCCUUUUUCAUCACCACCUCCAUCGAAAUGAACCACCUGAAGUUUAAAGGCAUCGCAGCUCCUACUCUACUGUCUUCUAGUUUUGUUGUUGGGGUUUAUAUUUAUGAUCUACCAUUGUUGGUGGAUUUUGCAUAUUUCUGUGUUUGUUCGUUGUAUUUUGUUUUUAUUCCUUGUCAUGUCAUAAGCUUUCUAUCUACAAUGAAGGCCUUACUGUAUCAUCUCGUUUCUUGAGUGUUAAUAGAAGUGCCUUUUCAUACAAUAUGAGCUCUAUUGUUUAGAUUUUGGGUCUAUGCACUUAAACUGACACAAUGAUUGGGAGUCGGAACAACGUUUCCCACUCUGAACCACAAUAGGAAGACUAUCACACAUAGUUACAAAAAAUCGUGGUUAGCAAGGUGAUAAACUAGGAGGUUACAAUCGCCUAACCCUUCAAUAACUUGACAACAUUUGAGGCAUCAGCCAGAAUGUGACAAUAUCCUUUUCCAUAUAGAUGGAAGCAAUGCAUAAUCAAAAAACCAAACUGUAGUUCCAAAGUCGUUUUCUUUACACUAUUACUUCUAGUGAGUUGAAUUUUAUUCAUUCCAAUCAAGCGUUGUCUUCAAUCAUUUGGUUCAUAUCAUAGUUAACUAAACUUACUCAAACAUCUUCUAUUGGUUCUUCAAUGUUCACACAAGUACAAUGAUUGGUAAAUACACUCAAGAUCCAUGUCCUAUGAAAACACAGAAUGGCUUCUAUCAAAAUCUCAUCUUCUUCAACUCAAGACUCCGAUUCGUACAUAGAAUGGCUUCCACUAGCCUAUCGGUAAUGCUAUAUUUGGGACUAUAACCAGAUAAAGGUUGAAAGAAGCAAAAUUAAUAUACCUUUAGGCAGCCCGACACGAUUUCCACCAUAACAACAUUUCAAUUAUUCCUUCCCAUCAAAUGAAACAAGUCCAAAUUGACGAAGGUUUCUUGAUGGUUAUUAUCAUCAAUUAAAUCAGAACUUACUGCUGCUUGCUUCUGAAAAAUACGAUGCUUCUACCUUACUACACCAGUAACAUUGCAUAUAGGUUAAUGAAGGAACAUAAAAAUGAAGCAAAAAGUGGACAAAUUCAAUAUUUAUUAGUAUGGGAAAUGUAUUUUACAAAGGACUUCUAAGUUAUUCUGCAAUGUAACUAGUUGUACAAAGCCAUCAGUCACCU
Molecule: long non-coding RNA, 5022 nt
Filed under: Cucumis sativus (cucumber)
Lineage: Eukaryota; Viridiplantae; Streptophyta; Magnoliopsida; Cucurbitales; Cucurbitaceae
Description: long non-coding RNA (CSAT_LNC002505)
Source: RNAcentral